AAUGGGGGCAACCCUGAUCUAGCCAGUGCCGCGGUGAGUGACGAAUGCCCUAGGGUCGCUAAAGCUCUUUCACCAGGGAAGAUAAUGACUGUACCUGGACAAGAAUCCCCGGCUAUCUCCGUUGCCAGCGAUCGUCGUGCUAAUACGGAGGGGGUUAGCGUUGUUCGCGAAUUACUGGGCGUGUAGCGCGCGUAUGCGGACUGUUAACUCCGGGGUGAAAUCCCGGGGCUCAACCCCGGAACUGCCCUUGAUACUGGCAGUCUCGAGUUCGAGAGAGGUGAGUGGAACUCCGAGUGUAGAGGUGAACUUCGUAAAUGUUCGGAAGACCUCCAGUGCGCGAAGGCGGGUCACUGGCUCGAUACUGACGCUGAUGUGCGAACACGUGUGGGUGAGCCAAACAUGUGAUUAGAUACCCUGGUAGUCCACACCCGUAUACGAUGAAUGCCUGACGUCGGCAAGCAUGCUGUUCGGUGUCACACCGUACGGAUUAAGCAUUUCGCCUGGGGAGUACGGCCGCAAGGUUGAAACUCAAAGGAGUUGACGGGGGCCCGCACAAACGGUGGAGCAUGUGGUUUAAUUCGAAGCCACGCACAGAACCUUACCAACCCUUGACAUCCUGGUCGCGGUUACCGGAGACGGUUUCCUUCAGUUCGGCUGGACGAGUGACAGGUGCUGCAUGGCUGUCGUCAGCUCGAGUCGUGAGAUGUUCGGAUAAGUCCGGCAACGAGCGCAACCCACACCCUUAGUUGCCAGCAGUCCGGCUGGGCACUCUAGGGGAACUGCUCGUGAUAAGCGGGAGGAAGGUGUGGAUGACGUCAAGUCCUCAUGGCCCUUUCAGGGUUGGGCUAUCACACGUGCUACAAUGGCAGUGACAAUGGGGUAAUCCCAAAAAUCUGUCUCAGUUCGGAUUGUCGUCUGCAACUCGACGGCAUGAAGUCGGAAUCGCUAGUAAUCGCGUAACAGCAUGACGCGGUGAUACGUUCCCGGGCCUUGUACACACCGCCCGUCACACCAUGGGAG
RNAcentral lists this ribosomal RNA (1020 nucleotides) under uncultured organism. RNAcentral describes it as "bacterial SSU rRNA". It matches the Rfam family "Bacterial small subunit ribosomal RNA", at positions 370 to 1410 of the family's 1533-position model. The record is from RNAcentral.